RNAcentral lists this non-coding RNA (32 nucleotides) under Mus musculus (house mouse). The record is from RNAcentral. Lineage: Eukaryota; Metazoa; Chordata; Mammalia; Rodentia; Muridae.
UGUAAAGAGGAGAUGACCCAUCAAAACAGCAU